This 419-nucleotide small RNA is filed under the name Histoplasma capsulatum var. duboisii H88. RNAcentral describes it as "Histoplasma capsulatum H88 hypothetical RNA". Lineage: Eukaryota; Fungi; Ascomycota; Eurotiomycetes; Onygenales; Ajellomycetaceae. The record is from RNAcentral.
AGUGGGUGUUGCUGGUACUGGGGGGAUUAGAAGAGGUGGAAGAGGUGCUGGAGGGGUCGGUGGCGGCACCGGCGUGGUAAGGAGGGUCAUGUGUUUGAGGUGACGUGCGGUGGGCAGUGCUGUUAGAAAUGAGGCGGGAGGAAAAAAAAGUGAUUGUAGUGUUUUUCUUAGGUUGAGAUGGGUAUUCUGAUUAUUUUUAUGUCAACAUUUUGCUUUGUUUGCAUAGCUUUGUUCUUUGGAGUUAAUGGAUGGAGGAAGAUAUAGACUCGGCAAGGCAUGGUUUCUUUUUCUAUAUUUUAUUGUUAAGCUCUUGUCGGGAGGAGCUUUUGUGCAUAUAAAGUAGUCAAUUGUUGAAGCGAAAUGUUCAACAUCAUAGUACAGUACAGUGCAUAUGAAUACAUAGAGAUAUAAUUGACACC